Long non-coding RNA from Gossypium arboreum, 402 nucleotides. RefSeq lists it as uncharacterized. The transcript is spliced from 2 exons. Lineage: Eukaryota; Viridiplantae; Streptophyta; Magnoliopsida; Malvales; Malvaceae. The record is from RefSeq and is a predicted model, not a curated record.
AAGAAUUAAAUGGAUGAAAUAUGAAGUUUUAUUAAAAGAAAAAGGGAUGAAAAGAACAAAGUUUUGUCUAUCUUUGUUCAUCAUAGCUGAAAGUUAGAGAAGAGAAAGGAGAGGAGAAAGCUCUUGAGUAUUUGGUCAUUAGGAGGAGGAAAAUUGAAGGAAAUCCCCAACCAUAGUGGGCUUGGAGCUGUGAGGGAAUUCGGAGUGGCCACCCGUUCUGAAAGUUUGAUUUUCUUCUGGUGAACUGGACAUCCUUUUAAUUACGUUUGAGGUUUUGGGGUUUUAAAUGUAAUAAGGCCGCUUAUUUUUUUUUUGAUGGUUUUUAAUAUGUAUUACUAAUAUAGGUAAUACUUAUUUUAACUGUUGAAAUUGGAUAGCUUUAGGGCGCGUUUUCAAAAACAA